Molecule: ribosomal RNA, 819 nt
Filed under: Microbacterium sp.
Lineage: Bacteria; Bacillati; Actinomycetota; Actinomycetes; Micrococcales; Microbacteriaceae
Description: bacterial SSU rRNA
Rfam family: Bacterial small subunit ribosomal RNA
Source: RNAcentral
CCGGAUACGAGCUGCGACCGCAUGGUCAGUAGCUGGAAAGAAUUUCGGUCAGGGAUGAGCUCGCGGCCUAUCAGCUUGUUGGUGAGGUAAUGGCUCACCAAGGCGUCGACGGGUAGCCGGCCUGAGAGGGUGACCGGCCACACUGGGACUGAGACACGGCCCAGACUCCUACGGGAGGCAGCAGUGGGGAAUAUUGCACAAUGGGCGCAAGCCUGAUGCAGCAACGCCGCGUGAGGGAUGACGGCCUUCGGGUUGUAAACCUCUUUUAGCAGGGAAGAAGCGAAAGUGACGGUACCUGCAGAAAAAGCGCCGGCUAACUACGUGCCAGCAGCCGCGGUAAUACGUAGGGCGCAAGCGUUAUCCGGAAUUAUUGGGCGUAAAGAGCUCGUAGGCGGUCUGUCGCGUCUGCUGUGAAAACCCGAGGCUCAACCUCGGGCCUGCAGUGGGUACGGGCAGACUAGAGUGCGGUAGGGGAGAUUGGAAUUCCUGGUGUAGCGGUGGAAUGCGCAGAUAUCAGGAGGAACACCGAUGGCGAAGGCAGAUCUYUGGGCCGUAACUGACGCUGAGGAGCGAAAGGGUGGGGAGCAAACAGGCUUAGAUACCCUGGUAGUCCMCCCCGUAAACGUUGGGAACUAGUUGUGGGGUCCAUUCCACGGAUUCCGUGACGCAGCUAACGCAUUAAGUUCCCCGCCUGGGGAGUACGGCCGCAAGGCUAAAACUCAAAGGAAUUGACGGGGACCCGCACAAGCGGCGGAGCAUGCGGAUUAAUUYGAUGCAACGCGAAGAACCUUACCAAGGCUUGACAUAUAGAGGAAACGU